ACUCGCGAGGGUAAGCGAAUCUCUAAAAGCCAUUCUCAGUUCGGAUUGUAGUCUGCAACUCGACUACAUGAAGCCGGAAUCGCUAGUAAUCGCGGAUCAGCACGCCGCGGUGAAUACGUUCCCGGGUCUUGUACACACCGCCCGUCACACCACGAGAGUUUGUAACACCCGAAGCCGGUGGCCUAACCAAAAGGGGGGAGCCGUCGAAGGUGGGAUAGAUGAUUGGGGUGAAGUCGUAACAAGGUAGCCGUAUCGGAAGGUGCGGCUGGAUCACCUCCUUU
RNAcentral lists this ribosomal RNA (281 nucleotides) under Tuanshanicoccus lijuaniae. RNAcentral describes it as "partial 16S ribosomal RNA". It matches the Rfam family "Bacterial small subunit ribosomal RNA", at positions 1253 to 1533 of the family's 1533-position model. Lineage: Bacteria; Bacillati; Bacillota; Bacilli; Lactobacillales; Aerococcaceae. The record is from RNAcentral.